CCAAAAUGGCGCUUUCCAGGCAGCCAAGAAAGCCGUCGACUCGCAGCAGGCGCUUUGAUCCCGAGAAUGGCGUCGACAUGGGAGAAAUAUUAAAAAUACUAGAAGCACCCGACUCUGAAUGCGACGUCAGUGAUGACGACGACGACAGCGACUUUCUUGAAGACCAAGGGGCGACGCUAGUUGAACAAGUCCCCAUUCGUGGAACCCAGCCCUCCCCUUCGGAUUUCGGUUCCAGUCUGUCUACCAACGUCAAGAUGACGUUUCUCGGGUAGAGGUCUAUUCUGCUUCAAAACACUUUUCAGUAGAAGUUUUCUUUUUCUUGGCUUUUCAAAAUCUUUUUAAAGAAAGGAUUCGUCACAUUCCCGGGUUCGCAGAACCUUCCUCGGAUUCGGAUUCGGGUUCGCAAAAUUCUGGAUUUGUCCCAUAUCCCUACUUUGUAGCUAAAGGCGUAACACCGCCAGAAGCCCCCUGAUUUCUGCCGGUACAGCCCACCUUCGUAAGUCUUCCGAAUCUUCUGAAACUAUGAGAUCGCGUUCUCGCUCAUGUUCUUCGAGCCCAUUUUUAUGCCCUGGUAGACGAGAAGUCUUCUAAGUCUGCAGCAGCAUAUACAGAUGGCGCAUCCAGAAAUGGCAAGUCCGCCUCAGCAAUCGUCGGACCAUCCGAAGACGUAGUGCAAGGACGACGCCUUUCGCAUCCAUCUCAUCAACAGCUGCGGAACUCUAUGCCAAUCUUUGUGUGCGUGUGUGUGUGUGUCUGCAGCGCAUAAUUGAUUUUAUUUCGCGGGAAUGGGCAAUGUUGCGGAUUAAAGGAGGUCGACGUGGA
Molecule: long non-coding RNA, 822 nt
Organism: Ornithodoros turicata
Lineage: Eukaryota; Metazoa; Arthropoda; Arachnida; Ixodida; Argasidae
Exons: 2
Source: RefSeq, a predicted model, not a curated record